UACGGGGGGGGCAAGCGUUGUUCGGAAUUACUGGGCGUAAAGGGCUCGUAGGUGGCCAACUAAGUCAGACGUGAAAUCCCUCGGCUUAACCGGGGAACUGCGUCUGAUACUGGAUGGCUUGAGUUCGGGAGAGGGAUGCGGAAUUCCAGGUGUGGCGGUGAAAUGCGUAGAUAUCUGGAGGAACACCGGUGGCGGAGGCGGCAUCCUGGACCGACACUGACGCUGAUGAGCGAAAGCCAGGGGAGCAAACGGG
RNAcentral lists this ribosomal RNA (253 nucleotides) under uncultured bacterium. RNAcentral's name for it is "partial 16S ribosomal RNA". It matches the Rfam family "Bacterial small subunit ribosomal RNA", at positions 524 to 776 of the family's 1533-position model. The record is from RNAcentral.